Thunnus maccoyii (southern bluefin tuna) is the source of this 771-nucleotide long non-coding RNA. RefSeq lists it as uncharacterized. Lineage: Eukaryota; Metazoa; Chordata; Actinopteri; Scombriformes; Scombridae. The record is from RefSeq and is a predicted model, not a curated record. The transcript is spliced from 3 exons.
UUUCCUCUUGAAGGGUUCUGAGGCAUUCUCAGAUUAGAUGGGUUACAUAGUCCAGCAUACUCUGUGUCUACACCAUGGGUUUCCUCCCAAUUGCAAGUGCGCAAGUGGGGUAUCCUAAUCGCAUGCCUGAACUAACUCAAACACUGAAUUCAAACUGCAGUCUUUCCAGAUGUCUGAGCUCCUCACCCUCUCUAUGGGGACUAGUGUUAGCCACCCAACAAGGGAAAAGCUCAUUUCAGUCUCUUGAAUCCACUCCUGGAGCCAGGGCUGGGAGGGCAGCUCAAGGGCGAAUGACAAACCAAAGACAAAGGGCAAGAUGAAAAACAAAUUGACUAUAAAACUGAAUUUGACUCAACACUACCUUGUUAGGGUAGUAAGACAGAAAACAAAACACCUCCCACACUUGGCCGCCAGUGAGGAGAACAAUCAUGCUGUCAGUCUGAACACAGUUUAAUGCUGUUUAACAAGUGAGAUGUCAAAUAUCAACACUGGUCAAAAUGCUUGCAGUGCGCCAGCUUCGAAUGGGACUUCUGAUUAUGCAGCGCUAACUGUUCGCUAACUGGUGAAGAUUGUUUGGGAUCUACUCGUCACCACAGUUGGCAGAGGUUGGAAGACAUAAAAGGAGUUUUGAGGUGAUGUACUCUAUCGAUGCACAACAGAUUUUGGCUUCCCCCAUUGUAUGUGGGUGCACUUGGCACCAGGUGCAUCACUGUCGCAGUAAGACUCUUUUUGUCAGGUGUGGUGUGCACUAAGCAGAAAGUGUUGUCUGGU